UACGAAGGGGGCUAGCGUUGCUCGGAAUCACUGGGCGUAAAGGGUGCGUAGGCGGGUCUUUAAGUCAGGGGUGAAAUCCUGGAGCUCAACUCCAGAACUGCCUUUGAUACUGAGGAUCUUGAGUUCGGGAGAGGUGAGUGGAACUGCGAGUGUAGAGGUGAAAUUCGUAGAUAUUCGCAAGAACACCAGUGGCGAAGGCGGCUCACUGGCCCGAUAUUGACGCUGAGGCACGAAAGCGUGGGGAGCAAACAGG
RNAcentral lists this ribosomal RNA (253 nucleotides) under uncultured bacterium. Its description in RNAcentral is "partial 16S ribosomal RNA". It matches the Rfam family "Bacterial small subunit ribosomal RNA", at positions 524 to 776 of the family's 1533-position model. The record is from RNAcentral.